UGGGGAAUAUUGGACAAUGGGCGCAAGCCUGAUCCAGCAAUGCCGCGUGUGUGAAGAAGGCCUUCGGGUUGUAAAGCACUUUAAGCGGGGAGGAAGCGCAGUCAGUUAAUACCUGAUUGCGUUGACGUUACCCGCAGAAUAAGCACCGGCUAACUCUGUGCCAGCAGCCGCGGUAAUACAGAGGGUGCAAGCGUUAAUCGGAAUUACUGGGCGUAAAGCGCGCGUAGGCGGUUCGUUAAGUCCGUUGUGAAAUCCCUGGGCUCAACCUGGGAAUGGCGAUGGAUACUGGCGAGCUAGAGUAUGAGAGAGGUGGGUAGAAUUCCAGGUGUAGCGGUGAAAUGCGUAGAUAUCUGGAGGAAUACCGGUGGCGAAGGCGGCCCACUGGCUUAAUACUGACGCU
This 400-nucleotide ribosomal RNA is filed under the name uncultured bacterium. RNAcentral's name for it is "bacterial SSU rRNA". It matches the Rfam family "Bacterial small subunit ribosomal RNA", at positions 355 to 747 of the family's 1533-position model. The record is from RNAcentral.